AAUGAAGGAGGAUUAAGAUCUCCCUCUUUGUUCUAGCUCCUUCUCUCUUAACAUCUCACCUCUCCACAGGGCUGAAAAUAAGAUGUGAAGUACCAAUGUUGUCACCAUGGGUGCUGCAGCCAGAAGGAUUCGGUAAUUCUCAAAACUCAUGGCAGAUGUGAGAGAUCAGACUAACGCGAACCAGCCCCUCUUACCCCAAUGGGAGCACCUCACCCCGCAGAGAGCUGCAGGAACAGGCCCAAAGACGAUGGUAUCUGCGGUCUGCAGCUGGGCGCAAGGAGCCAGUUACCAAGAGGACUGUCAGCAGUUAAGCCCUACGAGCUCCUGUCUCCUAGCUCCUGACAAAACCUGCAUGUCCCUCUCUGCUGUUGAUCCACUCCUGCUCGGUCCCUGCCACCUCUGUCAGCACAGCUCUGGCAUGGUUGGCAGUGGGCGAGUGAAGCCAGGACUCACCAAUGCUCGCUGCACCAGCUUCUGAUUUCCAUCCACGGAACCGCUCUGAGCAGCAUGAGAACAAGCCUAUGAGCAGCCCUCCCAGGACAGCUGUCCCAGACAUGAACUGCUGAUCCAUAACUCCCCAGUAAACGCAGAGAACAGGAAAGACAACAACAAGAAAUCUACUCUCAAAUUGCCAAGACGUAAAUUAAAAUGAUAUUGCUGCUUUUCUAUUGCCAUCUCUCUAGGGAAGUGUUAUUUCCACAGUAAAACAGGUCCAUUUGAAACAGUGAUGCAUAUCUCCCCCUCCUAAUUGCUCCAGUUCCCAAGGAAAUCCCCUGGUCCAUGCUCUUAAGAGUUUUUGUUAUCAGAUAAUCUGUGUGUUUGGCAUAUGUCCAUGGGGCCACUUAAGUAUUGUCUCCUUUGACAUGUAGUGUAUGUCCUAAAACCCUUAAAGGCUUAACCAAAACCCUUUGUUCUUAUGCUCUGUUUCUCUGAGAGUCUGCUGAACACAAAUAGCAUUAUUGUGUUCUCAGUUGUGGAUUUGUUAAUCCAAAUAAAUUAUUGUCAAUUACCCAAGUGCCGUAUCUCCAUACCCUGUAAACAGCAAGCCACGGUCUUAGGCGAGUGCCAUGAACAUUUUAGAGUCUUUGAGUACUGUGUUUAAUUCAACAAAAUACAGGAACACAAGGGGGAAGAGAUAUGGGAAAAAGAAUGAAAGAUAAAACUGAGACAGAGCAUGGUGGGUGGGAUCUUCAGAAGCUUGGUGUAACCAUGGGGCAAAUCACGUCUUAUAGAACAGUCAAUCCCACCACCUCUUUGGGACGGGGGAGAUGCUGCCCCAUCCACUCCUUCCUCAUGGUGCCCUUGUCACUCACCAGGCUCUUUUCUGCGUAGCCAAGGCUGCUAAAUGGCAGGAAGCCAAACCCAGUACCUGCACAGUUGGCUUUCUGAUGCAGCCCCAGGAGCACUGGGUAACAAGGAUAGCAGAGCAGCAAGACAUCAACCUUUGGAGGGCUGAUGUGGUGCCUAACCUUGUCCUUGUGUGGGUCUUUGGGGGAAGCAGCACUACUUCAAGUUGUACUGCACCCUGCUUUGCGGGCUUUUGUCCGUAACAGAAUCAGGGAGCUGCCUUGGGCUAUAAAUCAUGGAAAAAGAAGGGAAAGAGGGUAACUAACCUGUGGCAGUCAACUGGUCCAAUUCACAGGGUGAACCCGGGGCGCUGCAGCAGCCCAAGCAAGGGGGCAGACCAGGGACAGGAGCAAACAGCGGGUCCUGAGGACAGGACCCCAUUGCUGUCAGAAGAAACAGAGCACAAUUAUCUUUCUAUUCUUAUCGCCUUCACAGGCCUAUUUAGCUGUAUACCGUUUAAUAUAAUAUUUGAUUAUACACACACACAUGGAAACAAUUACUUUCAAUCCUAAAUUAUUUAAACCUUUUCUCAUUUUUAUUUUGAUUGUUUGCUAGAGGACCUUGGAAAUAAAAGAAGGAAGGAGAAGAAACAGAAAAAAGCAAUACAAACAACCAAAACAUUCCCCCAUCCCUCCUUCCGGGGAGACAGCCAGGCCCCAGAGAAAUCCACAUCAUAAAUUCCCAUUGUUUCAAAUGGAUGCUUUUUCAGCAUUAGUUUUUAUAGGCUGGACCAAAUUCUAAAUUUUCAACUAGGCACAGAAAAUUGCAGCAAAUUCUGAUUUAAUUGAUGUUGUUUUAAAAACACAAACUAACAUAUCUAGCACAUUUUUUGAUUA
Anas platyrhynchos (mallard) is the source of this 2183-nucleotide long non-coding RNA. RefSeq lists it as uncharacterized. Lineage: Eukaryota; Metazoa; Chordata; Aves; Anseriformes; Anatidae. The record is from RefSeq and is a predicted model, not a curated record.